GCUGAUCAAGGAUGACAAUAUUUUAAUUUGUGACUGCUGGAUGAAGCUUGCGGAUAUGGGACUGAGAUCAGCU
Molecule: small nucleolar RNA, 73 nt
Organism: Ictalurus punctatus (channel catfish)
Lineage: Eukaryota; Metazoa; Chordata; Actinopteri; Siluriformes; Ictaluridae
Product: Small nucleolar RNA SNORD99
Source: Ensembl